RNAcentral lists this ribosomal RNA (468 nucleotides) under uncultured bacterium. RNAcentral's name for it is "partial 16S ribosomal RNA". It matches the Rfam family "Bacterial small subunit ribosomal RNA", at positions 28 to 507 of the family's 1533-position model. The record is from RNAcentral.
GACGAACGCUGGCGGCGUGCUUAACACAUGCAAGUCGAACGGAAAGGCCCUGCUUUUGUGGGGUGCUCGAGUGGCGAACGGGUGAGUAACACGUGAGUAACCUGCCCUUGACUUUGGGAUAACUUCAGGAAACUGGGGCUAAUACCGGAUAGGAGCUCCUGCUGCAUGGUGGGGGUUGGAAAGUUUCGGCGGGUGGGGAUGGACUCGCGGCUUAUCAGCUUGUUGGUGGGGUAGUGGCUUACCAAGGCUUUGACGGGUAGCCGGCCUGAGAGGGUGACCGGCCACAUUGGGACUGCGAUACGGCCCAGACUCCUACGGGAGGCAGCAGUGGGGAAUCUUGCACAAUGGGUGGAAGCCUGAUGCAGCAACGCCGCGUGCGGGAUGACGGCCUUCGGGUUGUAAACCGCUUUCGCCUGUGACGAAGCGUGAGUGACGGUAAUGGGUAAAGAAGCACCGGCUAACUACGUG